RNAcentral lists this ribosomal RNA (492 nucleotides) under uncultured bacterium. Its description in RNAcentral is "partial 16S ribosomal RNA". It matches the Rfam family "Bacterial small subunit ribosomal RNA", at positions 29 to 507 of the family's 1533-position model. The record is from RNAcentral.
AGUGUACGCUGGCGGUAGGCCUAACACAUGCAAGUCGAACGGCAGCACAGUAAGAGCUUGCUCUUACGGGUGGCGAGUGGCGGACGGGUGAGGAAUACAUCGGAAUCUACUUUUUCGUGGGGGAUAACGUAGGGAAACUUACGCUAAUACCGCAUACGACCUACGGGUGAAAGCAGGGGAUCUUCGGACCUUGCGCGAUUGAAUGAGCCGAUGUCGGAUUAGCUAGUUGGCGGGGUAAAGGCCCACCAAGGCGACGAUCCGUAGCUGGUCUGAGAGGAUGAUCAGCCACACUGGAACUGAGACACGGUCCAGACUCCUACGGGAGGCAGCAGUGGGGAAUAUUGGACAAUGGGCGCAAGCCUGAUCCAGCCAUACCGCGUGGGUGAAGAAGGCCUUCGGGUUGUAAAGCCCCUUUGUUGGGAAAGAAAAGCAGCAGGUUAAUACCCCGCUGUUCUGACGGUACCCAAAGAAUAAGCACCGGCUAACUUCGUG